RNAcentral lists this ribosomal RNA (253 nucleotides) under uncultured bacterium. Its description in RNAcentral is "partial 16S ribosomal RNA". It matches the Rfam family "Archaeal small subunit ribosomal RNA", at positions 474 to 727 of the family's 1478-position model. The record is from RNAcentral.
UACCAGCACCCCGAGUUGUCGGGACGAUUAUUGGGCCUAAAGCAUCCGUAGCCUGUUCUGCAAGUCCUCCGUUAAAUCCACCUGCUUAACGGAUGGGCUGCGGAGGAUACCGCAGAGCUAGGAGGCGGGAGAGGCAAACGGUACUCAGUGGGUAGGGGUAAAAUCCAUUGAUCUACUGAAGACCACCAGUGGCGAAGGCGGCCUUCUGGACAGUGACUGACGCUGAGACGCGAAAGCGUGGGGAGCAAACAGG